GGGGAAUAUUGGGCAAUGGGCGCAAGCCUGACCCAGCAACGCCGCGUGAAGGAAGAAGGCCCUCGGGUUGUAAACUUCUUUUAUUCGAGACGAAACAAAUGACGGUACCGAAUGAAUAAGCCACGGCUAACUACGUGCCAGCAGCCGCGGUAAUACGUAGGUGGCAAGCGUUAUCCGGAUUUACUGGGUGUAAAGGGCGUGUAGGCGGGACUGCAAGUCAGAUGUGAAAUUCCAGGGCUCAACUCUGGACCUGCAUUUGAAACUGUAGUUCUUGAGUGAUGGAGAGGCAGGCGGAAUUCCGAGUGUAGCGGUGAAAUGCGUAGAUAUUCGGAGGAACACCAGUGGCGAAGGCGGCCUGCUGGACAUUAACUGACGCUGAGGCGCGAAAGCGUGGGGAGCAAAC
This 403-nucleotide ribosomal RNA is filed under the name uncultured bacterium. RNAcentral's name for it is "bacterial SSU rRNA". It matches the Rfam family "Bacterial small subunit ribosomal RNA", at positions 356 to 773 of the family's 1533-position model. The record is from RNAcentral.